CUAAUGAAUUGUUUUACUUCUGUUGUGACUGUGGUAUUUGGGGCUAAUUCAGGCCACGCUGAGAUCUCUAGUUACUUAAAGCUGUGUCAACCAAAUUGAAACUCAGUUGCGGGUGAUUCCAUGCAGACCUCAAGCUCACUUGCUUUGCCUUUCUCUGAGUAUACGUUUUCCCUACUGACAGGGAGCAAAAAGCAGGACCUGGGGUUAGAGCUCCAUCUCCAAACUGAGAAACAGGCACUUUUAAUCACAAUUCUUCUCUUUUGAAGUUGCUUUCUCGAUCUGAGCCCCAGCCUUGUGCUGCUGACACCUCUGAGAGCUGAGCCUCAACCAGGAGCCAUCUUUGGCCUAUUGGACUCAAAGUGGAAAAAUCACAAAACAGUAUGUGUAUGAAGUCACCAGUACAAAUUAAUUAUAUCUUUCAAUUCACUGUGUCUUAAUAAUAGGCUGAAGAGCUUUGAGGAGUUGAUGGCAGCAUCAGGUCAUGUAGCAGAAGUGAAUGCGGUAACUGCAAGGAAGAGCUGGAAAAAGCAGAGCUGCUGUCUGCAGAGUAGCCCUGUUGUGUUAUUUAUCCCCCGCUUAACUGAUGAAUCUGCCAGGUCAGCUGUCGAUCCAAGGAAUGAGUUCGUGUCCUGCCUCUGCUGCCUGGCAUGGCAGAGCCAAGACUGGGCACAGUGUCAGCAGGCGAGCCUUGCAAACUUGCCCAGAGCCAAGGGCUGAUGCAGGCUGCACUGAUGCGUGUUGUUUUCUUCCCUUUUUGCCUUCUCCACAACUCCUAGAAUGUGUUUGCAUAUGGUGGAAAAAACGCAAGGAGCAGCGAGAUGCAGCCAGGGACGUCGCCCUGUCUGUCAGCACUGGGCUUGGACUGGGACCAUCAUCACCGUAGAGACUGGGGCAGCUCCUGCAGCUUUUAGAAGUUGACCAGCUCAGAGAUGUGCUGAGGUUUUGGGGAAAUCCAUUGUGAAAUUAAAAUAGAGGAAAACUCAUCUAUCUUCUGCACAAUCUGGGUGAACACAGACUUGCAGCAAAGGCUGUUUUGAUGAGAAAACUGGCUAGCAAGUAUGAAAUAUUUAACAAACUUUCAAACCCAUCUUCUCCUCCUCAUUUCAUUAAUAGGUAUCUUUUAUCCUGUCCUAAGCAACAGCAAGAAGACUUAAUUAGUCUAACAAGUACAACAAAUAGUUUUAUUGACAAAAAAGAACCCUUUGAAAUAUACAUUACAUUCACUGGGGAUUAAAUUACACCCUAUUAUCCAUUUUCCAUAAAAUAAAG
Molecule: long non-coding RNA, 1269 nt
Filed under: Coturnix japonica (Japanese quail)
Lineage: Eukaryota; Metazoa; Chordata; Aves; Galliformes; Phasianidae
Description: lncRNA (ENSCJPG00005019872.1)
Source: RNAcentral